Long non-coding RNA from Hemicordylus capensis (graceful crag lizard), 719 nucleotides. RefSeq lists it as uncharacterized. Lineage: Eukaryota; Metazoa; Chordata; Lepidosauria; Squamata; Cordylidae. The transcript is spliced from 2 exons. The record is from RefSeq and is a predicted model, not a curated record.
AGGCAGUCCUUGUUCUAGUCUUCUGGACUGUAUUUUGUUUUAUUGUGUUUUAGUAUUGUAUUGGAUAUGUUUGUUAUUUCUGUUUCUGCUGGCCAAUGGCUGUAAUAAAAUUGGUGAUCUAGUCUUCUGAAGGAAGAGAGCGGCAAUCGCCAUUUUGUUCACACUUGGACGGUGUGCUGAGAGCAGAGCUUGCUGAGAGACCAUUUAUUUUGUUUAUUGAGCCUCAGAUUAUCCUCCAGAUCAGUCUUCCUCACUGGCCCAAUCUACCCAGCCUGCCUUGCUGCGACAAGAAGCUACCUACAUGAACACAGACAUCUUCUGGAUUUACCCUUACUGUCUAGCCCACAAACUACGGUCACUUCUCUGCUGCUGCCUCAGGAAAGAGGUCCUUCAUCCCUCAGGAAAGAGGUCCUUCAGUUGUGCCUGAGCCACAAGGGUCCAUUCACCCCUAAAAUGGAAGGACUAGAUCGUAUUAUAAUCCCUGCACCCUUCUGGUCUCUUCCUAUCCCUGCUCUUUCUUAAACCCAAAAACUUGUUUUUUUGAAGCCUUCUAUCUCUAGCCAGCUUGGAAGUCAAUUAAUUCGGACACCAAUCUAAAUUGCCUCUGCAAAUAUUUGGUUAAUCUUUGUAACAUAUUUUUGGUAGUAAUAUUGCUUUAAUCAAUUCUCUUAUUCCGCUGUACCCCUAAACCCUCAAAUAAAACCAUACUUUAUUUUGAA